GUAAAGCUGAUGGUGCUGUUCACAUCAGAAAUUGCAGCACUGAAGAACAGAGUUCAUGCAGACUUUUACAACAUGCAUCAGCUACAGCAUUUGUUUGUUGAUGGUACCAGCUGUCAAAAACCAAGCAAGUGGCAGUGCUAGAGGUGCCACAAAAGUGCGAAGGAAGUGUCAGGCUGGAUGUCAAAAUGAACACCUUGGAGAACUGGAUGAUGGAACAGACGGUAAAAAUCAGCUAAACAUCAGAGAAAAUGGAGGAAGAGGUCAAAACUGUGAACAGGAACUAGAAGAAAGUGUAGCAGAAAAAGACUUGUCACAAACUUCGAGAGAUUUGGAGAAAAUGAUGUCAAAACACAUCUUCCUCAAGCCCAUGCUGAGUAUCUCUGAUUUGGUUAAUUUCUUGACCCAGAGAUGCUGGGUGGCCUCUGGCCGCUGACCUCCUGAUUGCCAUCCCUCCCCCAUCACCACAACUCAAUAAUCAAACCAGCAACUGAGGAGUUACUCUACACUCUUCUUUACCUCCCAACCACCCCGUUCCAGCUGCUAAUCAUCAUGCUGAUUCUACCUGUAAAAUACAGCUCGAUUUGUUUGGUUUUCUCCAUCUCCACAGCUGGCACCCUCUCUACGUCUCUGCCAUCUGUCACCUAGACAACACAGCAUCUUCCAAAUGAGUGCCUCUAUUUCCAGGGUGAUCUUAAAACAGAAAUCAGAUUUUCACCCCUGCUGAAUAUCCUUCAGGGUCUCUUCUCUGCACCCAGCUGGAAUCCAAACACUGGUCCAGGAAGCCCCGCCUGCCUCUCCUGCCUCACCCAGAUGGCUCUACCCUUUGCCCACCUCACUUCAGCCACAGUGGCCUCACCUAAGUGCCUCCACAUUUGGUAUCUAUUCAUUCUCUAGCCAGUGCACCUCAGAAUGCCUGGAAUUCAGCUGGGCAUGGUGGCCCAUUCCUGUAAUUCCAGCACUUUGUGAGGCCAAGGUGGGUGGAUCACUUGAGGUCAGGAGUUCGAGACCAGCCUGACCAACAUGGGGAACCCCCGUCUCUACCGAAAAUACAAAAAUUAGUUGGGCAUAGUGGUGCGUGCCUGUAAUCCCAGCCACUCUGGAGGCCGAGGUAGGAGAAUUGCUUGAACCUGGAGGUGGAGGUUGCAGUGAGCCAAGAUUGUGCCACUGCACUCCAGCCUGGGCGACACAGCAAGAUUCUGUCUCAAACAAACAAACAAACAAAUAAAAAGAAUGCCUGGAAUUCCUGUCCUUUCCCAUCA
RNAcentral lists this long non-coding RNA (1259 nucleotides) under Homo sapiens (human). Its description in RNAcentral is "long independently transcribed non-coding RNA 2576, transcript variant 3 (LINC02576)". Lineage: Eukaryota; Metazoa; Chordata; Mammalia; Primates; Hominidae. The record is from RNAcentral.